This 460-nucleotide ribosomal RNA is filed under the name uncultured bacterium. RNAcentral's name for it is "partial 16S ribosomal RNA". It matches the Rfam family "Bacterial small subunit ribosomal RNA", at positions 338 to 795 of the family's 1533-position model. The record is from RNAcentral.
CCUACGGGAGGCAGCAGUGAGGAAUAUUGGUCAAUGGACGAGAGUCUGAACCAGCCAAGUAGCGUGAAGGAUGACUGCCCUAUGGGUUGUAAACUUCUUUUAUAUGGGAAUAAAACGUUCCACGUGUGGGAUUUUGUAUGUACCAUAUGAAUAAGGAUCGGCUAACUCUGUGCCAGCAGCCGCGGUAAUACGGAGGAUCCGAGCGUUAUCCGGAUUUAUUGGGUUUAAAGGGAGCGUAGGUGGCGUGUUAAGUCAGUUGUGAAAGUUUGCGGCUCAACCGUAAAAUUGCAGUUGAAACUGGCAGUCUUGAGUACAGUAGAGGUGGGCGGAAUGCGUGGUGUAGCGGUGAAAUGCUUAGAUAUCACGAAGAACUCCGAUUGCGAAGGCAGUUCACUGGACUGCAACUGACACUGAGGCUCGAAAGUGUGGGUAUCAAACAGGAUUAGAUACCCUUGUAGUC